This 496-nucleotide ribosomal RNA is filed under the name uncultured bacterium. Its description in RNAcentral is "partial 16S ribosomal RNA". It matches the Rfam family "Bacterial small subunit ribosomal RNA", at positions 28 to 506 of the family's 1533-position model. The record is from RNAcentral.
GACGAACGCUGGCGGCGUGCCUAAUACAUGCAAGUUGAGCGCUGAAGGUUGGUACUUGUUCCUACUGGCUGAGCAGCGAACGGGUGAGUAACGCGUGGGGAAUCUGCCUUUGAGCGGGGGACAACAUUUGGAAACGAAUGCUAAUACCGCAUAAAAACUUUAAACACAAGUUUCAAGUUUGAAAGAUGCAUUUGCAUCACUCAAAGAUGAUCCCGCGUUGUAUUAGCUAGUUGGUGAGGUAAAGGCUCACCAAGGCGAUGAUACAUAGCCGACCUGAGAGGGUGAUCGGCCACAUUGGGACUGAGACACGGCCCAAACUCCUACGGGAGGCAGCAGUAGGGAAUCUUCGGCAAUGGACGAAAGUCUGACCGAGCAACGCCGCGUGAGUGAAGAAGGUUUUCGGAUCGUAAAACUCUGUUGGUAGAGAAGAACGUUGGUGAGAGUGGAAAGCUCAUCAAGGGACGGUAACUACCCAGAAAGGGACGGCUAAUUACGU